CGCACACUCUCAAGUUCAACAAAUGGCCACAGAGGGCGAAAAAAUCGACCGCGCGGCGCUGCUAAAGAAACAGGCAUAGUACACCAAUUAAAAAGGUUCCCCGUUGAGCACAUUAUCUCCCGCUAGAGGCGCCGUAGUAAGCGCAAUUUUAACCUACAAACUUUCUUCAACAGUUAAGGAAGCGUUCUUAUUGCAUGAUAAAGACUACAAAAUUAUAAUUCCUAAUUUUACAUUGUACUUUUCAUUACCAACGUUGUUGUUUUUUGUCAUUUUAAACGCAAAAUAGCGUUCAGCAUCAUCGACCUCCCACGUGACCUCUGGCCUGGAUUUAAAAUUUUUACCGGUAUUUUCGCGUGCGCGGCAGGUACGGAUUCCUUGGUUCGUACAUUGGUUGGUUAUUUUGUGCUAACACCAGUUUACUGCGCUUCGAUGUCUCGCGUUAUUUAAUUUGGGGUGUAAGCCUGAAAGCUAGGUUUCAGUCGUGAGCCAUGUGGAACACGUCUGCAUCGAAAUGGGAGCCGGGUCCUGCUGCAACUGGGGACAGCAAUACCGACAUGCAGUAAUGAGGAUGGCACCAGUAUAAAGCAACACACUCCAUGCACUAAACAGAAGCUGCUGCCUGCUACAACAAGGUCAUUGUGUGGACUUUGGCUGCUACUACAAGAGUCUGUGCCAAGUACAUCUUGGUCAUCACGGGAGCCCCCAUCUACACCAACAGGAAGGGGCUGGAGCUGAAUUCGCAAGACCACAAACAAAGAAGCCAUUCCAGAAUUAUUUGGAUGAGAUAUCAAGUCUACGGACGACUGUUUCAAGAGUGAAAAGAGCCUACGCCAUCAUUCCACCAGCACGGAUUUUGGCCGAGUCAUCCAGGUACCUCAACAACAAAAAUUAUUUGUCUUCAGAUGUACCUGCAACCUCUGAACAAGCACAGAUGACGCUGGCUAAGAGUGUUCU
This is a non-coding RNA of Dermacentor andersoni, 954 nucleotides long. The record is from RefSeq and is a predicted model, not a curated record. NCBI's taxonomy places the organism in Eukaryota, Metazoa, Arthropoda, Arachnida, Ixodida, Ixodidae.